Long non-coding RNA from Marmota monax (woodchuck), 1726 nucleotides. RefSeq lists it as uncharacterized. The transcript has 2 exons. The record is from RefSeq and is a predicted model, not a curated record. Lineage: Eukaryota; Metazoa; Chordata; Mammalia; Rodentia; Sciuridae.
UCAGGACACAGGGCGACCAAGAGGAGGCAGAUUUUAUUUAUUUUUUAUUUGACAUCCCACCCUUCCCCUCAUUUUUUUUUUUUUUAGUUCUCGGCGGACACAACAUCUUUGUUGGUAUGUGGUGCUGAGGAUCGAACCCAGGCCGCACGCAUGCCAGACUGCAUGUUCCCUGUGCCAGAGUCCUGAGUGCUCAGCUCUUCAGUGUCCAAAUGCCUGGAAUGUUUGGGGCUGGAAAGCAGAGCUUGUGCUCAGUGACCACAGGUGGUGCGGUGACAGUCCAGUGUGUUACACACCGUCUGACCCCAUCCUCAAAAUGCCUGGAGGUCAGUGUGACUCCUGAGAGAUCCGUGAGACCAGAUCGGCAGCCUCUUGCCCAAGGUAGGGCAGCAGAAGUAUGGAGCCAGGUUCAGAUUUCUGUCUGGCAAAGGAGCAGGGCUCAAGGUCAAGAUGAAGGAGGCGGAAGAGGGUUCCAAUCUGCUCAAGCAGAGCUACACACAUGUAGCUAAGUCUGCAACCCAUAAUGAUUCCAGAAAAGGAGCUGAUUUUAGACCCAUUUCUCAGAGAACAUUUUGAACUGUGUAAAAUAAUAUAGACACAUAUGCACAUGUGUAUGUAGGUACCACUCCAGACAGACUCAUAACCUCCCAUCACUGAAGGACCUAAACCAAGCUUGACCCUCCACCCCAGCCCUCUCUACUGUCUAUCAGUCACCGCGAUCCUGCCCUACAUUCCCUUCCUCCCACUCCUGCAUUUGUGCACAAAGAAAAAGGGCCCAGCAGGAUGGUCAACAGAUUUAUGCUGAAAUAAAUGUGCUAAUUUAGAUAUAAAAAUGAUGGGUGGCCUGUGGGCAGCAGAACACUGAGAUGAGCUUCUCUCCUGGAUCAAAGCUCCUGCAUCCCUACCAAAGGUCACUUGCAACUUUUUAACUUUCAGCCUGUUAGCAAAAGAGCAAAAAAUAACCAGUCCUGAUGAGGUUGCACAGAAAAAGAAGCCCUCAACACUGUUGGUGGGCAUAUAAAUUAGUGCAAAGAGGAUGUAGAUUCCUCACAAAAAUAAAAACAGAACUCCUGCUGGGCACAUAUCUGAGGAAAUGAGGUCAGCAUACAAAGAGACACCCACACACAAUAACCCAGGUGCCCAUGAACAGAUGAAUGGAUAAAGGAAAUAUGGCCUAACAAUGGAGCAUUAUUCAGUAUGUAGAGAGGAACCAGGUCAGCGGGCCAUGGUAGCUCAUGCCUGUAAAUUUAGGUCCUUAGGAGCCUGAGGCAGGAGGACCACAAGUUGGAGGCCAGCCUCACCAACUCAAUAAGACUCGGUCACAAAAUUAAAUAAUAAUAAUAAUUAAAAGGGCUGGGUCUACAGUGCAGAGGUAGAGCACCCUGGGUUCAAUACCCAGUACUGGAAAAAACAAAAAGAAUGAAAUCCUCUUAUUUGCAGAAAAUGGAUGGAACUGAAAGACCUCCUGUUAAGCAAAAUCAAGGAGACACAGAAAGACGACUGUUGCACAUUUCCUCUCCUAUGUGGAAACUGGGGGAAGCAGGGGAGGCCCUGAAAGUAGAAGAGGAGCUAUUAGGAUUUAGGAAGGCAGUCAGAGGGAGGAGGCAGGGCACGAGGGGCAGGAAGGUGGGCAUGACCAAAGCUUGAUCUGUGCCCUGGUGGAAGUGUCCUCGUGAAGCCCGUUAUAUGUGUUAAUGAUUAAGAUAAAUAAAAGUAACAUUCAAAUUCA